This 410-nucleotide long non-coding RNA is filed under the name Daucus carota (carrot). RNAcentral's name for it is "long non-coding RNA (DCAR_LNC004222)". Lineage: Eukaryota; Viridiplantae; Streptophyta; Magnoliopsida; Apiales; Apiaceae. The record is from RNAcentral.
AUUCCUUUGGAUUGAAAUAAUUUUUCUCAAUCAUACUUCUUAUUACCUCAAAACUGAAGCUGAGACUGUCAGGGUUACUUUGUCAUACUAGUAGUUUAAUAUGAGCCGGAGCCUAUUUGGAGCUGGUAAGUUGUCUGUUCUAAAGGUUACCUCUCAAUGUAGAAGUUUCAUGGAGUACCAUGCAAAAUUUUGUGACAAAAAACAAAGUGGACAUGCUGUAAUUCUAUAGACCCUAAUUUGAUGUUGAUGAAGGAUGAUGUCUAUGAUUGGAUUUUGGAACUCUUUCUGGAUAAUUAUCUCAAUAGAUACAAUUUUACAAAGAGAACACACAAUUUCUCAAAUCAAACUCUAAUAAGACUACUUUUUCAAUCUCUCUCUAAAAGAAAAUUAUCAACUGAAGUAGAAUCAAC